GUUUCUAUAGUUGAAUAACAAC
RNAcentral lists this transfer RNA (22 nucleotides) under Microtus obscurus (Altai voie). RNAcentral's name for it is "partial tRNA-Glu". The record is from RNAcentral. Lineage: Eukaryota; Metazoa; Chordata; Mammalia; Rodentia; Cricetidae.